Molecule: long non-coding RNA, 426 nt
Organism: Pogoniulus pusillus (Red-fronted tinkerbird)
Lineage: Eukaryota; Metazoa; Chordata; Aves; Piciformes; Lybiidae
Exons: 2
Source: RefSeq, a predicted model, not a curated record
GUGUUCCUGCACUGUAAGUUUUAUCCAUCAGUAUGCCAACAUCAAGUUUGUCUCCUUCUCAAGAAUGUCUUCAUUCCUUAAGAGUCCAUUUACCCUGGCAGAGGGGAAUAAUCAGUCAGCUUCCACUAAGCACUUAAAAGACAUUUUCCAACCCAGAAGAUCCCUGCACACACCAUGGCAGCCUCAUGUGAGAGGGACAAUAGCUCCUGGGAGCGGUGGUUGUGGAGGGGACCCAGAGGGACAGUCUUGCAGCUGUGGUACCUACUCGGUGACGGUGGGCUGGAACCAGACCCAGAGCUCAGCACCAGCAGGUGCUUGAAGAGGAGGCUGCCCCCAGGUGCGGGUGCGCCAGAAACCCUGAGUGAGGGCGAGGUGGAGCUCCCGUACCCCCAGUGCUGCCACCAGCCGUCCCAGCGCCUUCGGGAA